CCUGACAACCUGCCUGUCUCGGACCUCUGAGCUUGCCUUACCCUUUCUGGACUUCUGCAUCGAUAUCAACACGCACCUUCAACACCACCCGGGAUGUCAAAUUCGACCAGCCUCUCGGUCCAUGGCCUCAUCUGUAUACUACCAGCUCAAGCACCUACCGCCACACAUUCAGCUGUGCGCUCCUCUG
Entelurus aequoreus (snake pipefish) is the source of this 187-nucleotide long non-coding RNA. RefSeq lists it as uncharacterized. Lineage: Eukaryota; Metazoa; Chordata; Actinopteri; Syngnathiformes; Syngnathidae. The record is from RefSeq and is a predicted model, not a curated record. The transcript has 3 exons.